GGAAUAUUGCGCAAUGGAGGAAACUCUGACGCAGUGACGCCGCGUGCAGGAAGAAGGUUUUCGGAUUGUAAACUGCUUUAGACAGGGAAGAGUAGAAGACGGUACCUGUCGAAUAAGCCACGGCUAACUACGUGCCAGCAGCCGCGGUAAUACGUAGGUGGCAAGCGUUGUCCGGAUUUACUGGGUGUAAAGGGCGUGUAGCCGGGUUGACAAGUCAGAUGUGAAAUCCUGCGGCUUAACCGCAGAACUGCAUUUGAAACUGUUGAUCUUGAGUACUGGAGAGGCAGACGGAAUUCCUAGUGUAGCGGUGAAAUGCGUAGAUAUUAGGAGGAACACCAGUGGCGAAGGCGGUCUGCUGGACAGCAACUGACGGUGAGGCGCGAAAGCGUGGGGAGCAAACAG
This 402-nucleotide ribosomal RNA is filed under the name uncultured bacterium. RNAcentral describes it as "bacterial SSU rRNA". It matches the Rfam family "Bacterial small subunit ribosomal RNA", at positions 358 to 775 of the family's 1533-position model. The record is from RNAcentral.